UUUAUGUUUUUUUUUUUUUUUAAUGUUCUUUUAAUGUUUCUAGUUUAACCUAGUUUAGUAGAUAAGAAAAACAAUGGCAGAUUUUUUAUUUUUGAGGAUGUUGUUCUAACCCUUUGUUACAGUACCAUACAAUACAUCCUCAACUUCUGUCAUGAAUUACAAGUACAAUCAGUUAUUGUUUACAUUCUUUUAUUAUUACUCUCUUUAGCAAGCACACGAGUCUAUGUGGUAUGGUAUAACUUUGCAAAAUAAAUUUCCACCACGCAUGGUUCAGAAGCAAUGUUUAAAUGCUCUCUGGAGAAAAGUAAAACAGGACCAGUGUUCUUCUUCACCUUUGCCAGAGAAAUGUUUUCUCAUUAAUGAGGCAUAACAGUGAAGGGAAGACAAUUCUGUUUCUGGGUCUUAACGGUCGAUGGUAAUACAAAAUAAAUGUUCAUGUCAUUGUGUCAUAUUUGGGCUAUCAUCAUGAUAAACCUUAUUAUCUUCACAUGCAAUACAUGAAUACAAUACAGUAACAAUGGGUAACUUAAGGGGGGGGAUGAAUGAUGAUUGUAUUGAAAAUCUUUGUACAGCAGGAUAAAACCACUACAACAGCUAUCUAGGAGAAAACGAACAUCAAUGUUAUUAAACAUCUUUUUCAUUAAAGUAAUACACAAUUUUUAACAUAAAUGACCACAAUCACUUCAUCUAGAACCUAAAAUCAUCAAAUUGAAAUGUCACGAGUAUUUAAGCAGGAUCUUCUAAUGCAGCGGUGGAUAGAUCAUUUAUGCGAGGAA
RNAcentral lists this long non-coding RNA (776 nucleotides) under Trifolium pratense (red clover). Its description in RNAcentral is "long non-coding RNA (TPRA_LNC009009)". Lineage: Eukaryota; Viridiplantae; Streptophyta; Magnoliopsida; Fabales; Fabaceae. The record is from RNAcentral.